RNAcentral lists this ribosomal RNA (200 nucleotides) under uncultured bacterium. RNAcentral describes it as "partial 16S ribosomal RNA". It matches the Rfam family "Bacterial small subunit ribosomal RNA", at positions 8 to 217 of the family's 1533-position model. The record is from RNAcentral.
AGAGUUUGAUCCUGGCUCAGAAUGAACGCUGGCGGCGUGCUUAACACAUGCAAGUCGAGCGAGAAAGUCUCUUCGGAGAUAAGUACAGCGGCGGACGGGUGAGUAACGCGUAAGAAUCUGCCCUUUAGUGAAGAAUACUCCUGAGAAAUUGGGCUUAAUACUGCAUGUGUCCCUUCGGGGAUAAAGGUGGCUUUAUGCUG